Molecule: ribosomal RNA, 511 nt
Filed under: uncultured bacterium
Lineage: Bacteria
Description: bacterial SSU rRNA
Rfam family: Bacterial small subunit ribosomal RNA
Source: RNAcentral
GAUCCUGGCUCAGGAUGAACGCUAGCGACAGGCUAACACAUGCAAGUCGAGGGGCAGCACGGGAGUAGCAAUACAACUGGUGGCGACCGGCGCACGGGUGAGUAACGCGUAUGCAACCUACCUAUCAGAGGGGAAUAACCCGGCGAAAGUCGGACUAAUACCGCAUAAAACAGGGGCACCGCAUGGUGAUAUUUGUUAAAGAAAUUCGCUGAUAGAUGGGCAUGCGUUCCAUUAGGUAGUUGGUGAGGUAACGGCUCACCAAGCCGACGAUGGAUAGGGGAACUGAGAGGUUGGUCCCCCACACUGGUACUGAGACACGGACCAGACUCCUACGGGAGGCAGCAGUGAGGAAUAUUGGUCAAUGGGCGAGAGCCUGAACCAGCCAAGUCGCGUGAAGGAAGAAGGAUCUAUGGUUCGUAAACUUCUUUUGCAGGGGAAUAAAGUGCAGGACGUGUCCUGUUUUGUAUGUACCCUGAGAAUAAGGAUCGGCUAACUCCGUGCCAGCCGCCGC